This 348-nucleotide ribosomal RNA is filed under the name uncultured bacterium. Its description in RNAcentral is "bacterial SSU rRNA". It matches the Rfam family "Bacterial small subunit ribosomal RNA", at positions 8 to 353 of the family's 1533-position model. The record is from RNAcentral.
AGAGUUUGAUCCUGGCUCAGGACGAACGCUGGCGGCGUGCCUAACACAUGCAAGUCGAACGGAGUCGGCCCCGCAAGGGACUGACUUAGUGGCGUAACGGGUGAGUAACGCGUGAGCAACCUGCCUUUCAGUGGGGGACAACAGUUGGAAACGACUGCUAAUACCGCAUAAUGCAUUUUGACCGCAUGAUCGAGAUGCCAAAGAUUUAUUGCUGAAAGAUGGGCUCGCGUCUGAUUAGAUAGUUGGUGAGGUAACGGCCCACCAAGUCGACGAUCAGUAGCCGGACUGAGAGGUUGAACGGCCACCAUUGGGACUGAGAUACGGCCCAGACUCCUACGGGAGGCAGCA